RNAcentral lists this ribosomal RNA (571 nucleotides) under uncultured bacterium. RNAcentral describes it as "partial 16S ribosomal RNA". It matches the Rfam family "Bacterial small subunit ribosomal RNA", at positions 355 to 919 of the family's 1533-position model. The record is from RNAcentral.
UGGGGAAUUUUGGACAAUGGGCGAAAGCCUGAUCCAGCAAUGCCGCGUGUGUGAAGAAGGCCUUCGGGUUGUAAAGCACUUUUGCCCGGAAAGAAAUCCUUGGCUCUAAUACAGUCGGGGGAUGACGGUACCGGAAGAAUAAGCACCGGCUAACUACGUGCCAGCAGCCGCGGUAAUACGUAGGGUGCAAGCGUUAAUCGGAAUUACUGGGCGUAAAGCGUGCGCAGGCGGUUUGCUAAGACCGAUGUGAAAUCCCCGGGCUCAACCUGGGAACUGCAUUGGUGACUGGCAGGCUAGAGUAUGGCAGAGGGGGGUAGAAUUCCACGUGUAGCAGUGAAAUGCGUAGAGAUGCGGAGGAAUACCGAUGGCGAAGGCAGCCCCCUGGGCCAAUACUGACGCUCAUGCACGAAAGCGUGGGGAGCAAACAGGAUUAGAUACCCUGGUAGUCCACGCCCUAAACGAUGUCAACUAGUUGUUGGGGAUUCAUUUCCUUAGUAACGUAGCUAACGCGUGAAGUUGACCGCCUGGGGAGUACGGUCGCAAGAUUAAAACUUAAAGGAAUUGACGGGAU